CGCGCCGUAGAGAAGUAGUCAUCUCGCCAUGCUCAUAACUUGGAAAUCGGUAGUGCAAAUCUAUCCGGCGCAA
RNAcentral lists this transfer RNA (73 nucleotides) under Crassvirales sp. RNAcentral's name for it is "tRNA-Met". The record is from RNAcentral. Lineage: Duplodnaviria; Heunggongvirae; Uroviricota; Caudoviricetes; Crassvirales.